RNAcentral lists this ribosomal RNA (447 nucleotides) under uncultured bacterium. Its description in RNAcentral is "partial 16S ribosomal RNA". It matches the Rfam family "Bacterial small subunit ribosomal RNA", at positions 29 to 523 of the family's 1533-position model. The record is from RNAcentral.
AACGAACGCUGGCGGCAAGCUUAACACAUGCAAGUCGAGCGCCCCGCAAGGGGAGCGGCAGACGGGUGAGUAACACGUGGGAACCUUCCUAGAGGUACGGAACAACUCAGGGAAACUUGAGCUAAUACCGUAUACGCUCUUGCGAGGAAAGAUUUAUCGCCUUUAGACGGGCUCACGUCGGAUUAGCUAGUUGGUGGGGUAACGGCCUACCAAGGCGACGAUCCGUAGCUGAUCUGAGAGGAUGAUCAGCCACACUGGGACUGAGACACGGCCCAGACUCCUACGGGAGGCAGCAGUGGGGAAUCUUGGACAAUGGGCGCAAGCCUGAUCCAGCCAUGCCGCGUGAGUGAAGAAGGCCUUCGGGUUGUAAAGCUCUUUUGCCAGGGACGAUAAUGACGGUACCUGGAGAAUAAGCCCCGGCAAACUUCGUGCCAGCCGCCGCCGUAA